UACGAAGGGGGCUAGCGUUGCUCGGAAUUACUGGGCGUAAAGGGCGCGCAGGCGGUUCUGUUUGUCGAGUGUGAAAGCCCCGGGCUCAACCUGGGAACGGCGCGCGAGACGGGGGGGCUGGAGUUCGGGAGAGGAGCGUGGAAUUCCCAGUGUAGAGGUGAAAUUCGUAGAUAUUGGGAAGAACACCGGUGGCGAAGGCGGCGCUCUGGACCGAGACUGACGCUGAGGCGCGAAAGCGUGGGGAGCAAACAGG
Molecule: ribosomal RNA, 253 nt
Filed under: uncultured bacterium
Lineage: Bacteria
Description: partial 16S ribosomal RNA
Rfam family: Bacterial small subunit ribosomal RNA
Source: RNAcentral